UCUUCAUGCUUGAUAAUAUUUGACCAGCUGAUUUGGUGAAUUCCAUUGAACCUCCAAAAGUUUUUUGCAAAGCUUGGUUGCUUAAUUUUUCUAACAAUAAGCAAAUGUUAUUUAUACGUAAAGGUUGAUUAACUAAUUAAUAAAGGUUGUCAUUAAUAAAGGGUGAAUUCCAUCAUAUACACGUAAAGAAGAGAGAGUACAUUAAAGAAAUUGUUAUUUAUACUAAUUAAUAAAGGUUGAUUAACUUACCUUUAAUUUCUUCGUCAUUUGGGG
RNAcentral lists this long non-coding RNA (273 nucleotides) under Actinidia chinensis (golden kiwifruit). RNAcentral's name for it is "long non-coding RNA (ACHI_LNC008222)". Lineage: Eukaryota; Viridiplantae; Streptophyta; Magnoliopsida; Ericales; Actinidiaceae. The record is from RNAcentral.